Molecule: ribosomal RNA, 253 nt
Filed under: uncultured bacterium
Lineage: Bacteria
Description: partial 16S ribosomal RNA
Rfam family: Bacterial small subunit ribosomal RNA
Source: RNAcentral
UACGAAGGGUGCAAACGUUGCUCGGAAUUAUUGGGCGUAAAGCGCACGUAGGCGGCUUAGCAAGUCGGAUGUGAAAGCCCUCGGCUCAACCAAGGAAGUGCAUCCGAAACUGCUGAGCUUGAGUACUUAAGAAGAUCGCGGAAUUCCCGGUGUAGAGGUGAAAUUCGUAGAUAUCGGGAGGAACACCAGUGGCGAAGGCGGCGAUCUGGGAAGAUACUGACGCUGAGGUGCGAAAGCGUGGGGAGCAAACAGG